AUGGCUGAGAUUGUGAUUCUUCUAGCCAUUAAAAAGAUCGGAGUUGCCUUGGCAAAGGGAGCGGUAGACCAGGCCAGUGUGCAGUUUGCAAGGUACAGGACACAACUACUAGAGCUUCAAGGCAAUAUGGGUCGUGUUGCCAGGGAGCUUCGCAUAAUGCAUGAUGUUCUCUGCCAAAUGGACAUUCGGAACCGCAACAAUCAAGUAUAUGAGGGCUGGUUGGAGGAGGUACGGAAAGUAGCACAUGUGAUGGAGGACAUGGUGGAUGAGUACUUGUAUCUAGUUGGUCAAGAACAUGAUAUAGGUUGUUUCUUUUUCCUGAAGAAAGGGAUAAAAAAGCCAAGAUCUUUACUUUCUUUGAACCAGAUAGCUUUCAAGAUAAAAGAAAUAGAGAAAGACCUUACACACCUGUCAGAGACGAAAAACCGAUGGGUUAUCCUGAUAAAUAACGGAGAUACUAACAACUCAAAUUACAUCGUCAAGAGGGCACAAGAUCUAGCGAAUAUUUCACGCUCGCUUGAUGAUGAAGAUCUAGUGGGGAUGGAUGCCAGCGGAGAAAAACUUGAGAAGUGGUUGGAAAGUGGUGGUAUGGAACGCUUUGUGAUAGCAUUGCUUGGAAUGGGAGGGCUUGGUAAAACAACUUUAGCUGCAAAUAUCUACAAGAAAGUGAGAGAUAAAUUUCAAUGUCAUGCUUGGGUCUCCAUCUCUCAAACUUAUUCCAGAGAAGAUGUCUUGAGGAAUAUUAUCAAAGAACUUUUCAAAGAUAAAGUCAGCAUUCAAUCAAACACUGAGGUUUUGAACAUCACACGCCUUGAAGAGACAGUGAAAAAUUUUCUAGAGCAAAAAAAGUAUUUGAUCAUAUUGGAUGAUAUUUGGACUCCAGAAGCAUUUGAUGAUUUAUCUAGGGUACUUAUUGAUAAUGAUAAGGGUAGUAGAUUGAUGAUCACAACAAGGGAAGCCCAUGUUGCCGCACUUGCCUCAAAAGGGCAUAUCUUAACACUGGAAGCUUUACCAGAAGACAAGGCAUGGGAUCUCUUUUGCAAGAAAGCCUUUCCAAGCAAUGUAAAACCUAGAAACGGAGCAUGGAAGGGGCUGGGUGGGGAGUUGAUGGAACAACGGGUGUUGGGCUUCACGGGAUUAAGAUUUUUGACCCAAAUGUUAGAUAAAUGUUCCCUUGGUUACUUGGGUUGGAUAUGUGAUACAUCCCUCAUGGCACCGUCCGGCAUGCCCCUGCUUCCAAGAGAUACAAAUCAUGACUGUCCUCCGGAGUUGAAGCAUUUGUCAAAGGAAAUAGUUAACAAGUGCAAAGGCUUGCCUCUUGUUAUUGUGUUAGUUGGUAGCCUUUUGCGUGUGCGUGAGAAAACUGUGGAAGAAUGGAGAAAAAUAAAUGACCAAUUGGGUUGGGAGCUAAUUAACAAUUCGAGUUUAUUUCCAGAAGACUAUAUUUUCAAAAGGAAAGAACUUGUACGAUUAUGGAUAGCAGAAGGGUUCGUCGAGGAGAGGGGUGAAAGCACAUUAGAAGAAGUGGCAGAAGGCUAUCUAAAGGAGCUGAUUGAUAGAAACAUUCUACAACUUGUUGAGAGGAACACAUUUGGUAGGAUGAAGGAAUUCAGGAUUCACGAUAUCUUACGUGAACUCGCAAUGGACUUGUGCAAGAAGAAUAGUUUUGGUGCUGCCUAUGACAAAAAAUGUGCUGGGUCUCUUGAGAUGGAUGGGCGACGAUUGGUAUUCCACAACCUAAAGAACGAUAGUGAUCAGUUAAUUUCUCGCAUACACCAGCUUCGUACAGUUACACACUAG
This 1800-nucleotide ribosomal RNA is filed under the name Triticum aestivum (bread wheat). RNAcentral's name for it is "partial small subunit ribosomal RNA". Lineage: Eukaryota; Viridiplantae; Streptophyta; Magnoliopsida; Poales; Poaceae. The record is from RNAcentral.